AUUUACAACCGGUGAAAACCUCUCUUCCACUCAUAGACAAAGCAAAACUCUCCAUUGAUUUCCCAAAAGGUGGUUUUUUUUCCACAAAUUCGAUGUGGUUCUCCAGAAAUUUAUUAGUUUUUUUUUAAAAAAAAAAAUUUUAUGGUCCAAUUUCAUAUAUUUUUGUAGCAAAGCAGAAUUGAAUUUUGUGGGGAAUAGAAAUUGGGAAGAAAUGGGCAAUCUGUUCAUAUGCCUGGCCAAUUCGCCUUCUGUCAAUAUUAGUACUUCGGUUUCAGCUAAUUUAAUCUGAGAAAGCCAAUAACUUGAUGUAUCCAACCUAUCAAAUCUGCAUUUGCUGCAUUUCUCAACACUGUGAAAAGGUGUAAUGCUACCAGAAAGUCGAGGCUUCGCCACAACGGGCAAUCUCUCAGGAGCAGCAACACCAACUCUAUUUUCUUGGAAACACAAACUUUUGUUUCUUGGUUUUGAUCUGUUAACUUCUAUAGUAGCUUUCUUCGCGCUUUCGUUCGCUGAAUCUUCUGCAGAAUCAAUUAAAGAUUGAGCCUUUUUUGGCGAUUUGGAUGAUUUUAGGACAACUCUAGAUAAUAAUUUUGUCAAUAUCUUUCCAGAAACUGUCUUUGAUGGAACAUUUGUGCUUCGAACUGUGCCAAAAACUGAGUUGACAAGAGUUUUUGAUAACUUAGUUGCUUCAGUUGAAUCGAAAUUGAAUUUGACAGGUUUUCAAUUUGAAUCUAUGUUGCAAUUCCACUAGAAGAGCCGUGUCACAAUUUUUUUAAAAAGAAGAGGUUUCCACCUGAAGGGAUGAAUCUAAUUUUUUUGAGAUACGACAGGUAUGCUUCGAAGCACAACAAGAAGAGUUUAGAAUUUGCUGAAUAUUAAUUGUAUUGUCAUAGGGAUGCAUUGCUUAUUGAGGCAGACAUUGUUUGGCAUACUAGAUGCUAUAAUAUUUCGUCUGUUCAUUGCGUUGCUUUCACUGCGGUCAUUGUUGUCGAAUUUAUUCUAUUGAUGCAACCAUAAUGUUGUGUUGUUUUUUACUAAAAUCUAGAAUCUAUCUGAGUAGCAUUGAAUUUAGGUGAAAUUUUUUCCUUUUGUUCAUUCUUCUUCUUUUUGUUUGUCGUUCUCAUUGUUUGUCCUGAUAGUGGCAUAUUAUUAAUUAUCUGUAAUUGACGUA
This is a long non-coding RNA of Capsicum annuum, 1171 nucleotides long. RefSeq lists it as uncharacterized. Lineage: Eukaryota; Viridiplantae; Streptophyta; Magnoliopsida; Solanales; Solanaceae. The transcript is spliced from 2 exons. The record is from RefSeq and is a predicted model, not a curated record.